UUGAACGCUGGCGGUAUGCUUUACACAUGCAAGUCGAACGGCAGCACGGGGGCAACCCUGGUGGCGAGUGGCGAACGGGUGAGUAACAUAUCGGAACAUAUCCGGAAGUGGGGGAUAGCUCGGCGAAAGCCGGAUUAAUACCGCAUAUGCCCUGAGGGGGAAAGGGGGGGAUCGCAAGACCUCUCGCUUUCGGAGUGGCCGAUAUCAGAUUAGCUAGUUGGUGGGGUAAAGGCUCACCAAGGCGACGAUCUGUAGCUGGUCUGAGAGGACGACCAGCCACACUGGAACUGAGACACGGUCCAGACUCCUACGGGAGGCAGCAGUGGGGAAUUUUGGACAAUGGGCGAAAGCCUGAUCCAGCCAUGCCGCGUGAGUGAAGAAGGCCUUCGGGUUGUAAAGCUCUUUCAGCCGGAAAGAAAUCGCGCAGGCUAAUACUCUGCGUGGAUGACGGUACCGGAAGAAGAAGCACCGGCUAACUACGU
Molecule: ribosomal RNA, 482 nt
Filed under: uncultured bacterium
Lineage: Bacteria
Description: bacterial SSU rRNA
Rfam family: Bacterial small subunit ribosomal RNA
Source: RNAcentral